CUUACUUCAUCUCACUUAUUUAAAUAUUGAGUAAAUUUCUUUCUUUUCCUUCUGUGCACCUUCUUCACCCCACCCUAGCCAGGUGGGAGAUUUUCUCUUCACUAUCAGUGAAGGCUUCAAGAUUUUCUUUGACGCCUUAUGAAUAAAUAACUCUUGAUGGCCAGAGUCAGCAACAUUAGAAUGUGCAAGUCGCUUAGUUACAUCUUGGAGUUCCGUGGCUUGUUACGCAUUGCUGAACAUUCAAUGCCCAGGAUACAAUACUCUGACCAUGAAAAACAAUCAAGUGAAGCCUAGGACAACUUGAGCAACCAAAAGAAGUAAUAAUAUCUGCUAUGGUUUAAAUGUGUUCUCCAAAUUUCAUGUGUUGGAAACUCAAUACCCAAGUAUAUAUCCUGAUAGCAUUUGGAGGUAGAGUAUUUAAAGGUAAUUAGGAUGAUAAAGUCAUCCAGAUGGGGAACCCAUGAUGAGGUUGAUUGCUUUGUUCAGGAACAGAGACCUGAGCUGGCACACAUUUGCCCUUUUGCCAUGUGAUGCUUCUGCCAUGUUAUGAUGCUGCAAGAAAAGCCUCACCAGAUGUGAUCUCUCUACUUUGGACUUCCCAGCCUCCAGAACUGUAAAACAUAAAUUGAUUUUCUUUAUAAAUUGUUCAGUCUGUGGUACUCUGUUAUAGCAACAGAAAAUGGACUAAGAAAAUAUCCAAAAAAACAUCUCCAGAAAGACUCUAGAUAGUAGAAUUAUCAGACACAGGCUUAAAAAUAAUUAUAUUUGCCUGCUUACAGUUAUAAAAGACAAUUUUAACAGAGGAUUGAAAAGAAA
This 816-nucleotide long non-coding RNA is filed under the name Homo sapiens (human). RNAcentral describes it as "HSALNT0077793". Lineage: Eukaryota; Metazoa; Chordata; Mammalia; Primates; Hominidae. The record is from RNAcentral.